CCUUGUGAUAACCUCAGCCUUCAGACUUCAGGUUAGAUGCCAUUUCCUCUGAGAAGCCCGCCUCAUUCAGGAAGUCCGUGCUCUCUCAUAGUCUUCUGUGUUCCCUCCUCAAUGCAGUGUUUUAUAGCUUUUAAAAAAAUUCUGUGAUUGUAUUAUGCUCAGCAAACGAAGAGAGACUAUUCUUGUUUUCUGUGCCUAGGAUGUGCCUGGUGUAUGGAUCUGUCGCCAGUAGGACCAGAAAGCCAUAUGUGGUAUUACUUAUAAACCAUCUCUAGUAUAUAGAUUAAUAUAGAAUCAUCUUUCUUUAUGAGUUUUCCACCAAUAAACAUUGGUAGAUAUAA
This is a long non-coding RNA of Cebus imitator (Panamanian white-faced capuchin), 341 nucleotides long. RefSeq lists it as uncharacterized. Lineage: Eukaryota; Metazoa; Chordata; Mammalia; Primates; Cebidae. The transcript has 2 exons. The record is from RefSeq and is a predicted model, not a curated record.